RNAcentral lists this ribosomal RNA (423 nucleotides) under uncultured eukaryote. RNAcentral's name for it is "bacterial SSU rRNA". It matches the Rfam family "Eukaryotic small subunit ribosomal RNA", at positions 592 to 1018 of the family's 1831-position model. The record is from RNAcentral.
CAAUAGCGUAUAUUAAAGUUGUUGCGGUUAAAAAGCUCGUAGUUGGAUUUCUGCCGAGGACGACCGGUCCGCCCUCUGGGUGAGCAUCUGGAUCGGCCUGGGCAUCUUCUUGGGGAACGUGUCUGCACUUGACUGUGUGGUGCGGUAUCCAGGACUUUUACUUUGAGGAAAUUAGAGUGUUUCAAGCAGGCGCACGCCUUGAAUACAUUAGCAUGGAAUAAUAAUCUAGGACUUCGGUUCUAUUUUGUUGGUUUCUAGUACUGAAGUAAUGAUUGAUAGGGAUAGUUGGGGGUGGCUAGUAUUGGCCGGCCAGAGGUGAAAUUCUUGGAUUCGGUCAAGACUAACUUAUGCGAAAGCAUUCACCAAGGAUGUCUUCUUUAAUCAAGAACGAAAGUUGGGGGAUCGAAGAUGAUUAGAUACCAU